Molecule: non-coding RNA, 2503 nt
Organism: Equus caballus (horse)
Lineage: Eukaryota; Metazoa; Chordata; Mammalia; Perissodactyla; Equidae
Source: RefSeq, a predicted model, not a curated record
GCCGGCACCAUGAGGAAUCCAUUCUGAUGAGGGUAGUGGUGUCCACAUCCAGUGCCUGCGAUGUACAGAGCUGCAGUUUCCACACUUCGCAGUCGUGACUGGCGAAAAUGAAUUCAUAGAAAUGGGAAUGGUAUAACAAUUCACUCCUAUCAAAGCAUUACAACAUAGUUCUUUUGAAGAUAUUUUCCUGACAAAACAAUAUAUUACCUAUGAUCAAGUAUAGAAUUCGAAACUGUUUUACAAUGGAGUCAAGUGAAUGACAGACUUACAAGAAAUUUCUUGAUUUAGAAAAUUCCCAUGAAUACAUAAAAGAAUGAGAAUAGAAGGAACCAGAGAGAAUUUUCUGUAGUAUUUUUAAUUUAACAUAAAUAUGGAAUGAAAUUGAUGCCUUCUGCAAAGAAACCUAGAAUUGGAUUCUUCUCUUCCCCAUCACACCAGGUCCCAUUGUGAUGAAUGAACAGAUACCAAUGGCAAGAGGGUUUGGGAACCAGACAGAUCUUGGUUUGAAACAUUUCAACUUAUACUAGUUCUGAGAUCUUGGGCAAGAUAUUCAACCUCUUGGUUUUCUCAUCUGUAAAUGUGGGAUGAUAAUAUCUACCUUAUGAGGUUGUUUGUAAAGCUUAGAGAUGUUAUAUAAAAAGAGUUGGUACACGACUGGCUCUCAAUGAAUAAGAUGUGAUUCUUAUGGGUCGUGUAAAAACAAAGGUGCGUGUUGUUGGGCGAGAAAGGGUUAAUUUCUGCAGUGGGUUGAGCAUGUGUUUGUAUGAAGGACCAGCUGCCUUGACAAUAUGCUGCUGCAGUGACUCAUGGCUGGCUGCCAAACUGAGGCUCCAAGAACCCUUCUGCAACGUUAGGCGAUGAUGUGCAUCGUGUAAAUGAUACCCUGCAAGAACUCUAACUUCAGACUUCACGGGGUUGAAGUUCUGGCCUCUUACAAUCUCCUAGAGAUCACAUAUCCUCUACCUCACGGGAGUGAGAAAAGUCUCUAGGCCCAACAAUUGUCCACAUAGAUUUAGGGCUGCCUACUUAAUUCCUUAAGGUCUCCUUCAUUUACCAGCCACAAGCCUUCGUGUUAGUUUUGUUCAUAUAUCCAGUGGAUAUUUUUUUCCCGCCUGUGAUUAUUAGAUGCAAAAUAUCAGACUUUGAAACUCUUGUGGAAACUGCAAAAAAGAUUGUCUUCUACAUACUGUUGUGGUUGAUGAAAUUCUGAAGUGACAUUCUGUAUCAGUCUCCAACACUAGACAAUGUUAAAAGAAUCAAGUAGGAUGAUCUAGAAUUUAGAGAGAUAAAGAGAGAAAAGAUGUUAACAAUAUGACAAUAUUUGGGUGCAAAAAAAAGUGAAGUGUUUUUUUUUUUUUUUAGUCUAGAGAGCUGUAUAAAAUGGAAAAGAUCUCCUCCAUUAACAGCCUUACUGAAAUUCACUAUUUUUCAGUGAAGGCUUUGUACAUCUGAAGACAUUUUUUAAGUGGAAUAACAGAGAUGGGCUCUAACGAAUAACAGAAGAAAACUGACGACUGAUUCCAUGAAGUAAAGAAUAUUGAAAUCAAACACUUUACCAUCAUCCUAAAUACACUUUGUUAAUAUCUCCUGUUUGGUAGGCCAAAAGUUAAAAUUUUCCAGUUGAUAAACUGUUGCAUUGAACUCUUCCCAAUCUGAUCUAGAGGAAACUGAAUCUUUUAGACAUUAAAAUAUAUGUUGGUUGGCUACCUUUAAAUUGACUUCAAGAGUUAGUUACACUAUUUAUCAUGAUAUAGAUUUGAUUUGGUAAAACCAUUACUUUUUAUCAUAUUAUUUUAGAGGAGUUAAUUUUUUAAUUUGAAAAUAUGUUUACAGAAGCCUGUAGAAUGUUUUCAGACACUGAGGAGAUGAAGGAUAGAGACUGCUUUUAAGGAGGUUAUGGUCUAGUGGAGAAUAUAGACUGACAAAUAAUUAUAAUACACAAUUUACAUGUUAAAAGAGGUUACAAAAGGUGUUAUGAGAGCAUCAAUGAUGGGCACCCAAGUCGGCCUGGGGCUGUCAAAGAGUUCAGUUUUAGGGCUCCUGUGUUGAAAAUGCCAUCGAGUCAUCAAUUGAAGCUGGAUGCAUGGUGUUUCAAUUUUGGAGCCUUUCGUGGCUGUAGAUGGAACUCUAGGCACUAUUCACAAUUAUGAAAAAAUCAAAUGCCUCUGAAAAGCAUUUGUCACUCAUGUGUAAAUGCUGUGCUAUGCCUUAUGAUUAAUUUCAAGCAUACAUGAAAAUGUAGUUUAAGUAUAAAAAUAUUUUUUAGGGUGGCUGAGGAAUUAACAUAAAAAGACUUCUGAUGAUAGCUUUGGUCAGGAAAAUAGAGAGAGGAAGCAAAGUCUUAGAAGAUUAUAAUUUCUAAUGUCAGUUGCAAAGAACCUUUUUACAAAUCUCUAUAACACAAUCUAUAAAAUUAAUAAAAAUCAAUUAAACUAUUAAAAUUAUGAAAGUAAUGAAAAUUUGGUCAUAAAACUAAUAUAAAAGGUCAAAUGUUUCGGUUUAA